GAUCCUGGCUCAGGAUGAACGCUAGCGACAGGCUUAACACAUGCAAGUCGAGGGGCAGCACGGUGUAGCAAUACACUGGUGGCGACCGGCGCACGGGUGAGUAACACGUGUGCAACCAACCCCGUACCGGGAGAUAACCCGCGGAAACGUGGACUAACAUCCCAUAACACUCUAGAGCCGCAUGGUUCUGGAUUUAAAACCCCGGUGGUACGGGACGGGCACGCGCGACAUUAGGUAGUUGGCGGGGUAACGGCCCACCAAGCCG
This 265-nucleotide ribosomal RNA is filed under the name uncultured bacterium. RNAcentral's name for it is "partial 16S ribosomal RNA". It matches the Rfam family "Bacterial small subunit ribosomal RNA", at positions 15 to 275 of the family's 1533-position model. The record is from RNAcentral.